AGAGUUUGAUCCUGGCUCAGGAUGAACGCUGGCGGCGUGCUUAACACAUGCAAGUCGAACGCACCCUUUCGGAGGUGAGUGGCGGACGGGUGAGUAACGCGUGAGGAUCUACCUAUAGGAGUGGGACAACCAUUGGAAACGAUGGCUAAUACCGCAUAUGGCGAGAGCUGAAAGAUUUAUCGCCUGUAGAAGAACUCGCGUCUGAUUAGCUAGUUGGUGGAGUAACGGUUCACCGAGGCGACGAUCAGUAGCUGGUCUGAGAGGAUGAUCAGCCACACUGGGACUGAGACACGGCCCAGACUCCUACGGGAGGCAGCAGUGGGGAAUUUUCCGCAAUGGGGGCAACCCUGACGGAGCAACGCCGCGUGGGGGAGGAAGGUCUGUGGAUUGUAAACCCCUUUUCUCAGGGAAGAAGUUCUGACGGUACCUGAGGAAUCAGCAUCGGCUAACUCCGUGCC
This 458-nucleotide ribosomal RNA is filed under the name uncultured bacterium. RNAcentral's name for it is "bacterial SSU rRNA". It matches the Rfam family "Bacterial small subunit ribosomal RNA", at positions 8 to 509 of the family's 1533-position model. The record is from RNAcentral.